AUACAGAGGGCUCAAGCGUUAAUCGGAAUCACUGGGCUUAAAGGGUGCGCAGGCGGAUUAGUAAGUAUCUUGUGAAAUCCCACAGCUCAACUGUGGAACUGCUCGGUAUACUGCUAAUCUUGAGCCCGACAGGGGCUAUCAGAACUCUAGGUGGAGCGGUGAAAUGCGUAGAUAUCUAGGGGAAUGCCAAAGGCGAAGGCAGAUAGCUGGGUCGGUGCUGACGCUCAGGCACGAAAGCGUGGGUAGCGAACGGGAUUAGAAACCCUAGUAGUCC
This 274-nucleotide ribosomal RNA is filed under the name uncultured bacterium. Its description in RNAcentral is "partial 16S ribosomal RNA". It matches the Rfam family "Bacterial small subunit ribosomal RNA", at positions 523 to 796 of the family's 1533-position model. The record is from RNAcentral.